Molecule: long non-coding RNA, 278 nt
Organism: Rhinopithecus roxellana (golden snub-nosed monkey)
Lineage: Eukaryota; Metazoa; Chordata; Mammalia; Primates; Cercopithecidae
Exons: 2
Source: RefSeq, a predicted model, not a curated record
AAACCUGUGCUUGGGGAACUGAACUUUGAGAAAUGCAAAGCGCCUUGGUGUUCCGGGAUGAGCACAUUGGAGCUUAGGUCCCUCCAUUCCUGGUAGUAGAGAAAGCAGCGGAUGGUUCAGCCUGGAGGCAGAGAAAGAGCCCAACAACUACAAGGAAGCUCAAGAUUCAUCUUGGAGGAUAAGCAGCAGCAAGAGCCUAUGGAGGCAGGGAAGAAGCCUCUGUCAAGAGGUGCUGUUCACUUUUGUAGAUCUCUAAUAAAAAUGAAGUUUUCAAUCUC